AUGAUUUCCUCUCAGAGGGAUUCAAAUUGGUGCUAUGAACAAAAAUGAAAAAGAAAGAAGGGAAGAGACGGGAUGAGUGAAAAAGAUAGGCCUUUUCAGUAUGGCUUGUAAUAAAAGAGAGCUCAAGGAACGUUGGGUGGAUUUCUAAUUUCGGGUUAAAGAAAAUUCACUCAUGUACGAGUCCUGGUGCAGGAAAAUAUUAUUUUUAAUCCUUUUUCACCUUAAAAUCAACAAACUGCAUUUGUCUGCAUGAAAUGACUAAUUACUCAAGUUUAUGUACACUGUAUCUGAUAGCUCUUCUAAGUGGGUGACAGAGACAGUUUUGGCUUUGAGGACUUGGAACACUGUCCCUAAUUUUUUUUUGGCUAUCAAAGAUGGGAGAUAUACACUAGAUCUCAUUUCAUUGGCCCUCAUUCAGUCAGCGUACAAUACUUUGAUUGAAGAAAUUUUUUUGGAGAAAUUGCCACAAAUCCUGUAACCUUCUAAUGCAAUUGAUUUCAUUGCAGGUUAUCAUGUAUAUAAGUAUAUUAUCUGGACAGUUUUUCCGUAAUCCUCUUUCUCACAUUAACAACCCUUUCACCAAGGGUUUAAAAAUCUGAGAAUUUUAAUAUCAGGAUACUAUAAGAACAGUAAAUAAAAAGCUCAUUCGAUUACUCUGUCAAGGGUGUAGAUGGUUCCUGAGCCAGCAAGUUUUGUAGAGCCGCCAUCAGUGGAUUGAGCUUGGUAAAUGGAUGCUGGCAGCUUAUAGUUUCUUUGGGGAACGAUGAGAUGGUAACCAAUGGGACAUCCCUACUUUUGAGCUGUCUUGUGGCUCAGCUGAGCGGAAGAAAAGGACGGUUUUGCCAUUCCUGGGGUCUGAGUUUGAACUACCGGUGAUGGUAAUGUUGCCGAAAACUUGUACGAUGGAAUAUGAGCUGAGAAAAGAAAAAUGCGUAUUAUCACUUAUCUGGAGUUAGCAUACCUUCUUUCUGGAUCGUCUUGUUUGGCUUCAAAAAUAAUACCUAACUUGUUAUGACUUUUGAAACAGCUGUAAUUCGCCAAUAUACUUGUAUGACUAUGUUAAUUGCUUACCUGUAAUGCGCUUUUUUUCUUUUUUUUUUUUUAUCUCCUGGAACGUUGUAUUGGUGCCUAAGCAUUGUCACCGUACUGUUCCUCUAUUUUUAUUGUUUUUGUUUUGUUCUCUCUGUUAGACUUAAUUUUUAUUUUCAAAUAAAGACCAAGAACCAUUUUAGUUAAGAAUUGAUA
Long non-coding RNA from Olea europaea var. sylvestris, 1245 nucleotides. RefSeq lists it as uncharacterized. Lineage: Eukaryota; Viridiplantae; Streptophyta; Magnoliopsida; Lamiales; Oleaceae. The transcript has 2 exons. The record is from RefSeq and is a predicted model, not a curated record.